Molecule: long non-coding RNA, 176 nt
Organism: Arachis duranensis
Lineage: Eukaryota; Viridiplantae; Streptophyta; Magnoliopsida; Fabales; Fabaceae
Exons: 3
Source: RefSeq, a predicted model, not a curated record
CUAGGGGUAAACGUUCAAAAAUCUGCUGCAGAGGGGGACAACCAGGCUGACCUGCGAUCGACAGAAGGUCGCAAUGUGUCCUCUGAAACACUACCGGCUGUCAACUUGGGAAGUGAUGAUACUUCCUCUCAGAGACGCACAGAACAGAGCAGUGUAAACCAGCCGUCUCAGAGCAU